AAGAUUAAGCCAUGCAUGUCUAAGUAUAAGCACUUUAUACUGUGAAACUGCGAAUGGCUCAUUAAAUCAGUUAUCGUUUAUUUGAUAGUACCUUACUACAUGGAUACCUGUGGUAAUUCUAGAGCUAAUACAUGCUGAAAACCUCGACUUCGGAAGGGGUGUAUUUAUUAGAUAAAAACCAAUGCCCUUCGGGGCUCCUUGGUGAAUCAUAAUAACUUAACGAAUCGCAU
This 230-nucleotide ribosomal RNA is filed under the name uncultured fungus. RNAcentral describes it as "partial 18S ribosomal RNA". It matches the Rfam family "Eukaryotic small subunit ribosomal RNA", at positions 40 to 274 of the family's 1831-position model. Lineage: Eukaryota; Fungi. The record is from RNAcentral.